RNAcentral lists this ribosomal RNA (506 nucleotides) under fungal endophyte sp. DM177. Its description in RNAcentral is "eukaryotic LSU rRNA". It matches the Rfam family "Eukaryotic large subunit ribosomal RNA", at positions 137 to 658 of the family's 3401-position model. Lineage: Eukaryota; Fungi. The record is from RNAcentral.
UCCGAGUUGUAAUUUGCAGAGGGCGCUUUGGCAUUGGCAGCGGUCCAAGUUCCUUGGAACAGGACGUCACAGAGGGUGAGAAUCCCGUACGUGGUCGCUAGCCUCUACCGUGUAAAGCCCCUUCGACGAGUCGAGUUGUUUGGGAAUGCAGCUCUAAAUGGGAGGUAAAUUUCUUCUAAAGCUAAAUACUGGCCAGAGACCGAUAGCGCACAAGUAGAGUGAUCGAAAGAUGAAAAGCACUUUGGAAAGAGAGUUAAAAAGCACGUGAAAUUGUUGAAAGGGAAGCGCUUGCAGCCAGACUUGCCUGUAGUUGCUCAUCCGGGUUUCUACCCGGUGCACUCUUCUACGGGCAGGCCAGCAUCAGUUUGGGCGGUUGGAUAAAGGUCUCUGUCAUGUACCUCUCUUCGGGGAGAACUUAUAGGGGAGACGACAUGCAACCAGCCUGGACUGAGGUCCGCGCAUCUGCUAGGAUGCUGGCGUAAUGGCUGUAAGCGGCCCGUCUUGAA